AUUGAACGCUGGCGGCAGGCCUAACACAUGCAAGUCGGACGGUAACAGGAAGAAGCUUGCUUCUUUGCUGACGAGUGGCGGACGGGUGAGUAAUGUCUGGGAAACUGCCUGAUGGAGGGGGAUAACUACUGGAAACGGUAGCUAAUACCGCAUAACGUCGCAAGACCAAAGAGGGGGACCUUCGGGCCUCUUGCCAUCGGAUGCGCCCAGAUGGGAUUAGCUAGUAGGUGGGGUAACGGGUCACCUAGGCGACGAUCCCUAGCUGGUCUGAGAGGAUGACCAGCCACACUGGAACUGAGACACGGUCCAGACUCCUACGGGAGGCAGCAGUGGGGAAUAUUGCACAAUGGGCGCAAGCCUGAUGCAGCCAUGCCGCGUGUAUGAAGAAGGCCUUCGGGUUGUAAAGUACUUUCAGCGGGGAGGAAGGGAGUAAAGUUAAUACCUUUGCUCAUUGACGUUACCCGCAGAAGAAGCACCGGCUAACUCCGUG
Molecule: ribosomal RNA, 490 nt
Filed under: uncultured bacterium
Lineage: Bacteria
Description: partial 16S ribosomal RNA
Rfam family: Bacterial small subunit ribosomal RNA
Source: RNAcentral